This 61-nucleotide transfer RNA is filed under the name Gonatodes albogularis (yellow-headed gecko). RNAcentral describes it as "tRNA-Cys". The record is from RNAcentral. Lineage: Eukaryota; Metazoa; Chordata; Lepidosauria; Squamata; Sphaerodactylidae.
AGCCCUGGAAAGAGAACAGAGUGCAAAUCUGAGACAAACACCCUAAAGGGUGUCGGGGCUU